Long non-coding RNA from Cherax quadricarinatus, 773 nucleotides. RefSeq lists it as uncharacterized. NCBI's taxonomy places the organism in Eukaryota, Metazoa, Arthropoda, Malacostraca, Decapoda, Parastacidae. The record is from RefSeq and is a predicted model, not a curated record.
CAUUUGUUUCAGAACGUCAUGAACCAAAGGUGUUAUCACGUCAGCUCGAGUGGUUGGAGGCUAGUCAAGUCCCAGCUGCUUUAAUCGCGUGUUCUCUUGCUGCAUUGGAAGUGGAAUUCAGUUUAAUUUCCUUUCACUAUUGGCGAUGAUGGUUUUUGCGAUAUUCCUCGGUAUGUUCAGGAUACCAUCGCCAAACUAUACGUUAAGUUAUGGGAAUUCUUUUACUACAACAACUCCUGUUAUGGAGUUACACGGUUCUCCAUCUCCUCUACACGCGAAUCAUUCCCUUGAAAGGGAUAUUUAUUAUCCCCUACACGAAGCUCCAGGGUCAGUGUUUAAUAUAAUUAGCAUGAUCUGUACGCUGAUGUUGCUUGUGGUUGUACUCCUGCUUAUACUGUUGUGCGUCCGUGCUUGUUGCAAAGUUCCUGGAAGCACGUACGUGAAGCUGAAGGACUCUGCAGUCUUGGGGUUUGAUUGUUCCAAACUUCAACUGACUAAAUAACUUUUACUUUUAUCAUGAGCCUAGUCGCUGGAGAGCCACUUCCUGCACACACGCUACUGGGCAAGACGACGACGGCGGUGGAAACUUCUGAUGCCCCUAAAAAUUUUUUAGGGGUAUGAUUUUUAAUUGACAAACUAGGUUUUUAAAUGUUUUAAUUUUAGUUAAAUUAUACUUGGUGCACUGUACAAUAGCCUACUAAUAUACAAGCGAUAAUGGUCUUUAUUCGCAUACUCUUAAAAUACUGUGAUAUCAAUAAAAGGUAUGGUUUAAA